UGAGGCUCCGCUCUUGCAA
Molecule: transfer RNA, 19 nt
Filed under: Pseudolarix amabilis
Lineage: Eukaryota; Viridiplantae; Streptophyta; Pinopsida; Pinales; Pinaceae
Description: partial tRNA-Ala
Source: RNAcentral